CUGGCUGUCGGUAGGAGGGUUCACAGCAGUGCGUGUGUGGUUGUUGACUGAAGCAACACAGCGUCAGCAGGUCGGGGCUUGCCAAACGGUGGAGCAGUACAGAGCUCCAAGGGAAUAGCUGGACCUCAGACAAUGGCCGAUAGGGUCCAGCUCCACGUCACUCCACAUCUGGUGCAAGGGAUAUUCACAUUAAUACACGUAUCAAGAUCUCUAUAAACACGUCAUUGAUGGUGCAACUUGACCUGUUUGCUUGCAAAAACUUGCAUUGAAGCCAAACUCACUGUGUCUGUCGUAGACAAGGAAGAAACUCUGUGAAACUUUGUUUUUGAGACUGAUGACUGUCUGCUCAGUGUCGAGUCCCUGAAUGAGCAGUCACUCUGUGACACUGAUAUGCAGUCCCUCCUGGUGGCCUGGGCUAGGAAGUGUAGACAGGGAACCUUUUCUGCUAGGGUGUCCCUGUUGAAAAAUAAUUAUCUCUCAGCAAAACCUCUGUUAUCUUUCCCCUCUCUCUCCCCUGUUAUUUUUAAGCUUAGCUCACCUGUAUUUCGCGUGAAUGAUGGCGUAGAUAAAAGGGUUGUAGAUGGCCGAUGCUUUGGCUAUAACAGCAGGGACAGCUUUGGAAUAGGGAUUGAGGAUGCUUCCAUAUCUGAAAGGUGUAAAGCAUUUGUAAAGAAUAGAACUGUGCAUCACCUGUGUUGUGGUACUGGUAAUUAGUUUGACCGUAUACAAGAAGUAGAAUAUGGUUCAUGGUUAAUGGCUGAAAUGAAUUACAUAGAGCAAGCUAGCAUGUUUUAUGCCAGGGUCUACCAUGCUGAAUGCACACAACAAAUGCAGUUAAACUAUUACAUGAUUAUAUCAUAAAGAGCCCUUGACAGUUGUCAUACUGUAUAUUUACCCAGCCCAGGCGAUGAGUGUGACACAUGCAUAAGGCGACCAGGAAAGCACAAACACUAUGAUGACCACAAAGGCAAUCUUGGCCAGCUUCCAUUCAGUCUUGAUGGACUGCUGCUGGAUCAGGGUUGAUUUCCUCACCUGGCACCCCAA
This is a long non-coding RNA of Micropterus dolomieu (smallmouth bass), 1044 nucleotides long. RefSeq lists it as uncharacterized. The transcript is spliced from 3 exons. The record is from RefSeq and is a predicted model, not a curated record. Lineage: Eukaryota; Metazoa; Chordata; Actinopteri; Centrarchiformes; Centrarchidae.